RNAcentral lists this ribosomal RNA (468 nucleotides) under uncultured bacterium. Its description in RNAcentral is "partial 16S ribosomal RNA". It matches the Rfam family "Bacterial small subunit ribosomal RNA", at positions 28 to 507 of the family's 1533-position model. The record is from RNAcentral.
GACGAACGCUGGCGGCGUGCUUAACACAUGCAAGUCGAACGGAAAGGCCCUGCUUUUGUGGUGUGCUCGAGUGGCGAACGGGUGAGUAACACGUGAGUAACCUGCCCUUGACUUUGGGAUAACUUCAGGAAACUGGGGCUAAUACCGGAUAGGAGCUCCUGCUGCAUGGUGGGGGUUGGAAAGUUUCGGCGGUUGGGGAUGGACUCGCGGCUUAUCGGCUUGUUGGUGGGGUAGUGGCUUACCAAGGCUUUGACGGGUCGCCGGCCUGAGAGGGUGACCGGCCACAUUGGGACUGAGAUACGGCCCAGACUCCUACGGGAGGCAGCAGUGGGGAAUAUUGCACAAUGGGCGGAAGCCUGAUGCAGCAACGCCGCGUGCGGGAUGACGGCCUUCGGGUUGUAAACCGCUUUCGCCUGUGACGAAGCGUGAGUGACGGUAAUGGGUAAAGAAGCACCGGCUAACUACGUG